UUUCUGUGUGUUAUCAGCCCGGGAGCCACCGGCUCAUAUGACGGUUAUUUUGGAGAAUAUUAGAUUUGGCCUCGUUUUCAAAACCUGAAGGGGCGGCCGUCCCAAAUAUGGCGGGAGAAGCAGGCAUAGAGACAGGUAAAAAAUUUAGAUAGGAACCUAACCUGUAACUUACCGAUUUUCUACAUUUCCGACAGUGACCUAAAGUGUUGACAGUUCAAAGGCUUGUAUUAUAACAAUUAAGAUGUCAGUGUUACACAGCUGAAUAUACAUGUACAUUCCCAAGUAGCUUGAAGAACAUGAAAGGGACCAGGAUUAAUCAUUUUGCCAUUCCUUGGCAAUUAUGACAGAAGCUCAAGCACCUAUCAUGCAGCCAUAAAUAAAGUUAUUUAAUCCUUUUAAAACUGAAAACAUUCUUUGAAAACUUGGUUACAGUUCUUUCCAAUGAAUGAAAUACAUAAACAUAUUCAUGUAAUAUCAUUAUAAAUGUGGAAGUUUUUAAAGAAGUUUGGCUGUGAAAUCACCACUAUAUGACACUUACAAAAAUAAAUUCAAAUGAAAAUAUAGACUGGUACAGGGCUAAAUGGUAUUAGUGAAAUAUAUUGCUCAUCCCAGGUAAAUUUAUGAAAUUAUAUUAAUUGUUUACAUUGAUCCUGUUUUUAAAAGGAGUAGUGUGUCCUGUGGCUAAAACAGUAUGUUAUGAUCAAGAAGUGUAAAAUAAUUGCCAUAUCAAUGCGUUGCAAAAGUAAAAAAAAAUUUUUGCCACAAAUAUACGUUUUUUUUUGCAUCAGCUUUAACCCCUGUUGGCUGUCACAAUAUUGAUAUUUUUUGUUGAUGAUAUUAUGUUUUAAAUGUCAUAUUAUAGUUGUUCACAUGUAAAAAAAAA
This is a long non-coding RNA of Lingula anatina, 883 nucleotides long. Lineage: Eukaryota; Metazoa; Brachiopoda; Lingulata; Lingulida; Lingulidae. The record is from RefSeq and is a predicted model, not a curated record.